GCUGUUAGGAGACUUUGUCUUUUAGUGGCGCAGCUAACGUUUUAAGUUGUCCGCCUGGGGAGUACGGCCGCAAGGCUAAAACUCAAAUGAAUUGACGGGGACCCGCACAAGCAGUGGAUCAUGUGGUUUAAUUCGAUGCAACGCGAAAAACCUUACCUACUCUUGACAUACUUGGAAGCUCUUGUAAUGAGAGUGUGCUUUUAAGAACCAAGAUACAGGUGCUGCAUGGCUGUCGUCAGCUCGUGUCGUGAGAUGUUCCGUUAAGUCGGAUAACGAGCGCAACCCUUACCCUUAUUUGCCAGCGAUUCGGCCGGGAACUAUAAGGGGACUGCCGGUGAUAAACCGGAGGAAGGUGAGGACGACGUCAAGUCAUCAUGGCCCUUACGAGUAGGGCUACACACGUGAUACAAUGGGAGAGACAGACGGGCGCUAAGCCGCGAGGUGGUGCUAAUCCUAGAAACUCUCUCGUAGUCCGGAUUGGAGUCUGCAACUCGACUCCAUGAAGUUGGAAUUGCUAGUAAUCGCGGAUCAGCAUGCCGCGGUGAAUACGUUCUCGGGUCUUGUACACACCGCCCGUCACACCAUGGAAGUGGAUUGCACCAGAAGUAGAUAGUCUAACCUUAGGGAGGGCGUUUACCACGGUGUGCUUCAUGACUGGGGUG
This 662-nucleotide ribosomal RNA is filed under the name uncultured marine bacterium. Its description in RNAcentral is "bacterial SSU rRNA". It matches the Rfam family "Bacterial small subunit ribosomal RNA", at positions 819 to 1482 of the family's 1533-position model. The record is from RNAcentral.